RNAcentral lists this small nuclear RNA (135 nucleotides) under Brassica carinata (Ethiopian mustard). RNAcentral describes it as "U4 spliceosomal RNA". It matches the Rfam family "U4 spliceosomal RNA". From Rfam's summary of the family: U4 small nuclear RNA (U4 snRNA) is a component of the major U2-dependent spliceosome. Lineage: Eukaryota; Viridiplantae; Streptophyta; Magnoliopsida; Brassicales; Brassicaceae. The record is from Rfam by way of RNAcentral. RNAcentral also lists the same sequence under 1 other name.
AUCUUGGCCCUUGGGGCAGUGACGUCGCUAAUGAGGUACUAACCUAAUGCGCGUCUAUUGCUGGUUGAAAACUAUUUCCAAACCCCCUCAUUUGAUCCUUGCGACCUUUGAGAAUUUCUGGAAGGGCUUUUAGUU